RNAcentral lists this long non-coding RNA (548 nucleotides) under Homo sapiens (human). RNAcentral's name for it is "long intergenic non-protein coding RNA 2703". Lineage: Eukaryota; Metazoa; Chordata; Mammalia; Primates; Hominidae. The record is from RNAcentral.
CCUAUCAAGUGGAACACCAUCAAUCACAUGGUGGACUCGUUGGGUUCCAAGACAGAUAGGACACCAUGAACAGAUGCUAUGGCUGAGACUGCUGGCCUGGGCAGCACUGUACUUUUUGCUUUUCCUGGAAGGGGAAGAAGAGAACAAUCCACUUUCUGUAUGGUCCUGUCCUUCAUUCGAGUUUAUAACGUUCUCCCCAGCUGAAGUCUACACAAUCUUUACCCAGACAUCAGAAACAGCUGUCUCAGGCAGAAGGCGCUUGACUCCAGGUGGGCGCUCAGCAGCAAGGGCAGCAAAGUGCUGGGCACACAGAAGGACAACGUGAUGAAGCGCCAUCACAUGGCUGGUAGCCUGUGGUGAGUCACCGGACUUCUCGACUCCCACCUCACUAGGGUGGAAGGAACAGUAACCACAACGCUCUGCAACUCGGGCUGCGCCCGCAUGAUUGGAAACAAUCUGUGAAAUGCCUUCAGCUCUCCAAAACAACAGAAAUGAUCAAAGAUGGAGGCAAGAAGACCAGAGAACCCUAAAUGUUUACUGUCUCCAGU